ACAGGUCUGUUAGCAGUCCGCUGCGUGACGCGUAACGUGGAUGUUUUUUCUUUGGUAGCGUUUAGGGCGCUGAACAACGCGUGUCACAUUGUUACCGAUUCACUCAGUCUGCGUUUUUAUUAAAUAUCUAAACUCAUCGAAGUGCUCAUUCCUGUCACUUCCUGGGCAGCCUGCAUCAUGAGUCGCCAUGACCAGAUCUCCAGAAGCUGAAGCAGUUUGUAGGCCGUCAGAGGGACAGAGGAUGAGUGAUGACGCUGACUGCAGGUCAGUGCUUCAGCUGCAUUGCUUCGUUUCGGCUGCAAGAAAAUCGACUAACAUCUAACUCGGUUCAACUGUGUCGUCCUGCUCCGUGGAAUCGAGCCCAAUGCUGCUGAAUGAAAUUAUGUGGCAUUGUCUCAGGGCUGGAUGUGACCUUGAGGAUAAAAGUCUGUAUCACCACAAGCAAUGAAAACACAACUGGAAAAGGGGGAAAAGCACAAACCACUGACACCGUCUGGAUAUUUUCACACACCCUGCCCUUGUUCUUUUAGAAACUGCUCAUUUCACCCAAGGCCAAUACACAAGUGGAGGGCUCCCUCUGCUGGCGACGACGACAACCUGCUCUCUAUGAAAAAGAUGAUAUGGAAAGAUGAGAUGUUCACUACAUAAUAGCCAUGCCGGGAAGAGGUAGACAGUGAAGUGGGUGUCACAGACUGCAGCUGCAGCUUCUGGCUCCUGAAGACGAGCUCUGCACUUUGGGUUGUUGUGAGAUGUCACACGAUUAAACUGCAUGUGGGAUUGUUGCACAAGUGGAUUAUGUGCUUUUUUGUGGAACUUCAUCAGACCUGUAGCAAAAACCGUCAGGACUGCUCCAGUGAAGUCUUAAAUUAAUGACUGAGUUUUAAGUGGUUUAUCCAUCUAUCCAUUUCUGCUGCUUAUCUGAGUCCAGGCCGCACUGAUUUAAAUGACUAUAUCAUUAGGAAUUGAUGUAACAUUAUGCUGGGAAGUACUGCAAAAAAAUGUGAUAUAGUCAAAUAAUUGUAAGCCAUCUUGUCCCUACUGGUUUUCCAACAUACCUUCAUACUUUGGUCGAAAUGAUUGUGAAACAGGUAUGAAAUAGGCCUAAAUUUAUACUUUUUAAUUUAUACUGGUGAACCUUGUAGAAACGGCUCUGUCCAGUACUCCA
Seriola dumerili (greater amberjack) is the source of this 1165-nucleotide long non-coding RNA. RefSeq lists it as uncharacterized. The transcript has 6 exons. The record is from RefSeq and is a predicted model, not a curated record. Lineage: Eukaryota; Metazoa; Chordata; Actinopteri; Carangiformes; Carangidae.